CCAUUUGUGCUUGGAUUUAUGCCACUGUCGUGUAUCGGUGAAUUCUGAGGCGGUGAGGGUUGUUGGACAGAUUUACCAUCGUUGGAAGAGCCACAAACUGCUGAUAAGGAUUUUCUCAACAAAAUUGGUUGGUUCAUUAAUCUGUAUAAGAGAAGCAAUUUAUCUCAUGGAAUUCGAAGACAGGGAGGGCAAAAGAAGAAAAUGAAGGCAUGCAUGUUAUUAGCUCGAGGAUAGAGGAACAAAUUAUUGAAAGAGAAAAAAAACUUGUUAUUAUAGAGGGAAGAAAAUCUCAAGGAGAUGAUUCGGAAAUGAUUCAAGAAAUGGAAUAUACAAAUCAUUUAUAUCUAGGAAAAUUUGAUCUUUAUAGUUU
Long non-coding RNA from Zingiber officinale, 370 nucleotides. RefSeq lists it as uncharacterized. The transcript has 2 exons. NCBI's taxonomy places the organism in Eukaryota, Viridiplantae, Streptophyta, Magnoliopsida, Zingiberales, Zingiberaceae. The record is from RefSeq and is a predicted model, not a curated record.